Molecule: long non-coding RNA, 3333 nt
Filed under: Homo sapiens (human)
Lineage: Eukaryota; Metazoa; Chordata; Mammalia; Primates; Hominidae
Description: non-protein coding lnc-ANKS6-1:24
Source: RNAcentral
UAAAAUGGAGAAGGGUGGAGGGAUUUUGAGGAGCAUGAUAAAGCCUGCAUCUCCUUGUAGAAAUGUGGAUGGUUGCUUUGGGAGGCCGAGGCAGGAGUAUUUCUUUCUGGGACGUGUACUCGAAAAACUAAAAAUGGGGCAGCCAACAUGUAACACAACAUUUUCCACUGAUGUGGGAAGAGGAAAGAUCGCUGGACAAGAACCUGGGAUCACGAGAGCAUGGGUGGGGUCAUGCACCUGCGUCACCACCAACACGAGCCUGUGUGAUGGGUUCCUCCGCAUCCCACAGCCCUCAGUGAACCGCUACUGCAGUGCUUCAUGAGCGUGGAGGAAAUGGCCCUUCCCAUGCCUGCCCAGCUUGCUAGACAGGGAGACAGGGCUGGUGCAUGUCACCUCCUGCCUGCAGUGCUGAAUGCUGUGUUGGUGUGGGAUGGGAGGAAGGGAAAUGGACCCAUCGCAGCACUAGCUCUUGGGGGCUCUCUGUGACCUUGACUAGCUACUUCCUCUCCUUUUCCUCAGUCUCUCCUCCCAAACCAUAAGAAAAGUAGAUGAAGGGAAUGGAAAUAAUGGAAUAUAAAACAUACAGACAUUAUGACAACUAUUUACAACACAUAAUCUCUGUGUGUUAUGUGUAAAAAAUGAUGGGAAGAAAACACAUUUUAAUUUUAACAGUGGUCUCUCUGAGUCUGGCCACCCUAGGCUUCUACUUUUUAUAUUUCCCAAAUAUUACUUUUACAAGAAAAAAAUUCAACUAUUUAAUUUUUUUAACAAAACACACAGCUUUCUCCUCUUUUGAGGCUCAUACCUACCUGAUUCUGGCCCAUCCCAUGACAGAGGUACAGAAUGACCUGGUGUCCCACAAUCUGGUUUUCAUCGGGAGGGUUAUAGUCAAAGCAGUAGUCUGUUAGUCCUUUGUUCUGGAGCUAAAUAAAACAUAAAUGUGGCAUUUCAGUCCAGAUUUAUAGACACUAACAGAUGCCACACAAGGCUUGGGGAUGUGGAAGGAAGGAGGGCAAUAGAAAAUCACCAUGGGAACACCACUGUAACACUUGCCUCAGUGAGACUCACCAAUGAAUGCAAAGUUAAUGGGCAGAACCUUAAUAAAUAUUUACCCAAAAACUUCUCCCAAAGGAUAUUUUAUUUUGUAUAUUUAUUUAUUUAUUUAUUUAUUUAUUUUGAGACAGAGUCUCGCUUUGUCACCCAGGCUGGAGUGCAGUGGUGCGAUCUCGGCUCACUGCAACCUCUGCCUCCCGGGUUCAAGUGAUUCUCCUGCCUCAGCCUCCCAAGUAGCUAGGACUACAGGCACCCACCACCACACUUGGCUAAUUUUUGUAUUUUUUAGUAGAGAUGGGGUUUCACCAUAUUGGCUAGGCUGCUCUUGAACUCUUGACCUUGUGAUCCACCUGCCUCAGCCUCCCAAAGUGCUGGGAUUACAGGCAUGAGCCACCAUGCCCAGCCCAAAUAAUAUUAAAAAGAAAAAUAGUGACUUUAUAAUGGAGAAACCCAGCAGACAUCCCCUCAUGUAAGUGAUGAAGGUUACCAUCACCAGUAAUCAGAUACUGUGUCCUCUCUGCAUAACGAUGCACUGAAUGGGCAUAUCACUUCAUUGCCCCCUACAUUCACAAGCACAUCUAAUUAUGGGAAAACUUAAGAUAAUCCCAAAAUGAUGUGCAUUCUUCAAAAUACCUGACCAAGAUUUCCCAAGUGUCAGGGUCAUGAAAGACAAGGAAAGACAGCGCUGUCACAGGUCAGAGGAGCCUACAGAGAUACAGCACAGCUCCAUGCAGUGUGGGUUCCUGGAUCAGAUCUUGGACCAGCAUAAGGACAUAAGCAAAACAGCCAGGGAAACAGAGUGAAGUCUGUAGUUUAGUUAAUAGUGUUGUGUCAAUGUCAGCUUGUUAGUUUUGAUCAUUAUACUGUGACGAUGUAGAUAUUAAUAUCAGGAAGCUGUGUGAGGGGUAUGUGGGAACUCUGUUCUCUCUGUGCAGCUCUUCUAUACGUCUAGAAUUAUUUUAAUGUAAAAAGCCUUUGUUUUAAAGCUAACCAAUGAGAAAAAGGGAAGAAUACGUGUUCUUUGGUGAUGUUGUUAUGCCACCCACAUCAUUUUUCAUAAUGGAGAAGGUAAGAAGCCCAGGACUACUUCCCAGGUGAGAUCUGCGACUCCUGUCUUGGAAUCACCGUGGCCCCAUGGUGAUCAGGGGACGUUUGUAGCCAGCAAGCUGCUUAGAUAAUUAGCUACCCUGCCUUUUAAAACUGAUAUAUUUCUUGAUAACAUAUGACUUUAGGAUACCUGGGGUCAUUGCAAAAACCUUUUGUUUGGAGGAGUGGCUUUGGAGUCAGCACAAGCUUCUAGUUCUCCAAAGAGGAAGCAUUUUAGGCCACUGCAUCGCAGAGCAGAGGAUGCAACUUUACAUAAACAACAUGCAAAUGCUUGGUGUUGCUUCAGAUAAUAAAAAUACAAGAGGUCCAACUCAUUUUCUUAUCCUUUUUAAAAAAAUAACAGCUUUUCUGAAAUCUUAAUUUAAUUCACCUAACAUACAAUUCACCCAUUUAAAAUGUGUAAUCUAAGUGUUUUUGAUAUAUUCACAGAGUUGUGCAACCAUCACCACAAUCUGUUUAGAACAUUUUAAUCACCCCAGAAAGAAACCCUGGAGCCAUUGGCAGUCACUCCCCAUUUUCCUCCAAUCCACCCAACCCCUGGCAACAGCCAAUCUACUUUCUGUCUCUUUGGAUUAACCUAUUCUGGACGUUUCCUAUAAAUGAAAUUAUACAAUAUAUGGUCCUUUGCGACAGCCUCUUUCACUCAGCAUGAUGUUUUCAAGGUUCACUUCCGAAUCUCUACCCAGGUGGGUCCCACGGCUGCAGUGCUUCUUCUCCCGGUCAGGGAGCUCUCCCCUCUAUUGUUCUCCCAGGGCCUCCCUAUGCACAUUCCUGAGCCCUGACUUCCCUGUCUUAAGCUCUGUCCCCUGUUUAAGGUACGUCAGGCUUUGAAGGCAGGUGCACUUGGUGUGAAUCCAGAUCACUACAUAUUGUGUGCUCCUUGGCUCCCUUCGCCUCCCUGAGUCUCAGUUUCUUCAUCUGUGAAAUGGGCAGGAACCAGUCCCUGCUUCUUGAGGUGCUCUGAGGAUGAAAGGAGAGAGUUGCCUAAAUGCAUUCCCUCCAGACUGUGACUGGCCUGUGGGGACAGGAGAAUAUGGAUUUGAUUCAUCUUAGGUCUGUCUUAAAGACGGAGGGAACCUCUGACAUCAUAGCUGUGUGUGAGUCCUUGAUGAAGAGUGAUCCUAACCACACUACCUCUGUGUAGAGUCUUCCAGUUUGUAGGGGACGGUCACC